RNAcentral lists this long non-coding RNA (1232 nucleotides) under Marmota monax (woodchuck). Lineage: Eukaryota; Metazoa; Chordata; Mammalia; Rodentia; Sciuridae. The record is from RNAcentral.
GAAAACCAGGCCUGGGUGAGUUCAAGGCACGGGCAGGCAUUCAAGCAAGUUUAGAAAUCUCAGUAAUUUAUAAUAAAGCAGAAAUUAACUUUUCAUGCCUUUGUGAUGAGAUGGAUCCCAAUCUUAAGAGGAAAUUAGGCUGGGUUUAUCAAACACACGAGGCUAGGGUGAGUUGGAACAUUAUGUUCUUGGCAAUAGUAUGGAAGAGAGUAAUGGCUGUUCACUGGUCAUUUUUCAUGUGCUAGGAACUUUAUUGUUUUGGUGCUUGAUGAACUUUGGGGAUUGAUGAACUCGGAGAGAAUUCAGUUAAUAAAAAAAAUUAUUAAAAUUACAAGUGAAUAAAUCUUCACAAAUUGAACCCAGGCCUUUACACAUGCUAAGGAACUUUAGAUAAUAAUGUCUUUUAAUACCCCCUGUGAGGAUGGCCUUAGGCCUGAGCCUAAGCAACUCCAUUUUAAAACUCCAGAGACCUGCAGUCUCACGAGCCCUCCAGUAUGGCCCUCAGGCACAAAAAGUCACUUCUCCCCACUCUGAUAAACUCAGGGUGACCUCACCUGGUAAGAGGGAAAGUCGCUGGAUUAGAAGGAAAGGCGAAAAGAUGGGAGUGGGGACCACCAGACUAGAUGUUUAACCCCGGGGGUAAAUGAUGUCACUGAGAAAUCCGGUGGCAGCUGAUAAGGAUUGAAAGAGGGGUCAAAAGCCCCAAAAUUUGGAAUAAAUAAUAGAACAACUGAAUAGACAUUCAGCCAGCCGACAAUGAUGCCCUUACACUGAGAGCCUGGUGAGGACCUGGAUUGACAUCCCAACACUUUUCAUGGUUUGCUGAUCCUUUGCAUCUUCCUCACCACUCUCAAACUCUACAGCCACACCGUGACACCUUCUUCUGGACUGGCCAUCAGCUCCACCCCAGGAGAAGCCUGCCUUGGUUCCUGACCUGAUCAUUGCGGUCUGAGUGAGUGUGCAUCUGCUGGACUUAAAGCCUAAGGCUUGAGACUUUUGAUCUGACAAACAGCACGCAGAGGGAAUGUCUGUCAUUAGCUUGUCAUGAUUAAGUGUAUUUUGCAGUGCUUAGAAUUAAUCUAGAAUUAUUUGCUGUGAAUUAAUUAAUCUAGAAUUGUUUGCUGUGAAUUGAUUAUGUCUAUUGCAGUGCCUAGCAUUAAGGAUUGUGGUUUACUUGAUUAAGAACCUAUAGAGUGCAAUUGUAUCGAGGGAUUUGAGUGAAUAAAACAUUG